Capsicum annuum is the source of this 106-nucleotide non-coding RNA. Lineage: Eukaryota; Viridiplantae; Streptophyta; Magnoliopsida; Solanales; Solanaceae. The record is from Rfam.
AGCUCGUGGUUAGGACAUUACACAAGCUUUUCAUUAAACCUUUCCCAAACUUCAUAUUAAGACUCUCUAUUGAGUUGGAGAAAAUUAAUGAUUUCAUCCCCUAAUU